CCCGCCGGACCCCACUGCUAUCGGGGUGGGACUAAAACAUGCGAGUCGAGCGCCUUCAAGCUAUGGUGAAGGCGCGGCAAACGGCUCAGUAACACGUGGCUAACCUACCCUUUGGACGGGGACAACCCCGGGAAACUGGGGCUAAUCCCCGAUAGAUGAGGAGGCCUGGAAUGGUUUCUCAUCUAAAAGGCGUUUAGACCAUGCUUUUAGGCGUCGCCAAAGGAUGGGGCCGCGGCCGAUCAGGUUGUUGGUGAGGUAACGGCUUACCAAGCCUAUAACCGGUACGGGCCGUGAGAGCGGGAGCCCGGAGAUGGGCACUGAGACAAGGGCCCAGGCCCUACGGGGCGCAGCAGUUGCGAAAACUCCGCAAUGCGCGAAAGCGUGACGGGGCUACCCCGAGUGCCGUCCGCUGAGGACGGCUUUUCCACGGUGUAAGGAGCCGUGGGAAUAAGGAGAGGGCAAGCCUGGUGUCAGCCGCCGCGGUAAAACCAGCUCUCCGAGUGGUGGGGAUGAUUAUUGGGCUUAAAGCGUUCGUAGCCGGCUCAGCAAGUCUUCCGUUAAAUCCAGCGAUCUAAUCGUUGGACUGCGGAAGAUACUGUUGGGCUAGGGGACGGGAGAAGCCGACGGUAUUCUCGGGGUAGGGGCGAAAUCCUAUAAUCCCGGGAGGACCACCAGUGGCGAAGGCGGUCGGCUAGAACGCGCCCGACGGUGAGGGACGAAAGCUGGGGGAGCGAACCGGAUUAGAUACCCGGGUAGUCCCAGCUGUAAACUAUGCGGGCUAGGUGUUGGGGCGGCCACGAGCCGCUUCAGUGCCGCACGGAAGCAAUUAAGCCCGCCGCCUGGGAAGUACGGCCGCAAGGCUGAAACUUAAAGGAAUUGGCGGGGGAGCACCACAA
RNAcentral lists this ribosomal RNA (896 nucleotides) under uncultured archaeon. RNAcentral describes it as "bacterial SSU rRNA". It matches the Rfam family "Archaeal small subunit ribosomal RNA", at positions 13 to 884 of the family's 1478-position model. The record is from RNAcentral.